GACGAACGCUGGCGGCGUGCUUAACACAUGCAAGUCGAACGGUGAAGCGAGUGCUUGCACUCGUGGAUCAGUGGCGAACGGGUGAGUAACACGUGAGUAACCUGCCCAUCACUCUGGGAUAAGCACUGGAAACGGUGUCUAAUACUGGAUACGACCAACCCUUGCAUGGGGUGUUGGUGGAAAGAUUUAUCGGUGAUGGAUGGACUGGCUGCCUAUCAGCUUGUUGGCGGGUGAAUGGCCCACCAAGGCGCCGACGGGUAGCCGGCCUGAGAGGGGGACCGGCCACACGGGGACUGAGAAACGGCCAGGACUCCUCCGGGAGGCAGCAUGGGGGAUUAUGGCAAAAUGGGCGAAGGCCUGUUGCAGGGAGGCGGGGUGAGGGAUGACGGCCUCCGGGUUGUAACCCUCUUCCCGCAGGGAAGAAGCGAAAGUGACGGUACCUGCAGAAGAAGCACCGGCUAACUACGUG
This 469-nucleotide ribosomal RNA is filed under the name uncultured bacterium. Its description in RNAcentral is "partial 16S ribosomal RNA". It matches the Rfam family "Bacterial small subunit ribosomal RNA", at positions 28 to 507 of the family's 1533-position model. The record is from RNAcentral.